AGUGAACGCUGGCGGUAGGCCUAACACAUGCAAGUCGAACGGCAGCACAGUAAGAGCUUGCUCUUACGGGUGGCGAGUGGCGGACGGGUGAGGAAUACAUCGGAAUCUACUUUUUCGUGGGGGAUAACGUAGGGAAACUUACGCUAAUACCGCAUACGACCUACGGGUGAAAGCAGGGGAUCUUCGGACCUUGCGCGAUUGAAUGAGCCGAUGUCGGAUUAGCUGGUUGGCGGGGUAAAGGCCCACCAAGGCGACGAUCCGUAGCUGGUCUGAGAGGAUGAUCAGCCACACUGGAACUGGGACACGGUCCAGACUGCUACGGGAGGCAGCAGUGGGGAAUAUUGGACAAUGGGCGCAAGCCUGAUCCAGCCAUACCGCGUGGGUGAAGAAGGCCUUCGGGUUGUAAAGCCCUUUUGUUGGGAAAGAAAAGCAGCAGGUUAAUACCCCGCUGUUCUGACGGUACCCAAAGAAUAAGCACCGGCUAACUUCGUG
Molecule: ribosomal RNA, 492 nt
Filed under: uncultured bacterium
Lineage: Bacteria
Description: partial 16S ribosomal RNA
Rfam family: Bacterial small subunit ribosomal RNA
Source: RNAcentral